GAAGAAAGCUGGCGGCGUGCUUAACACAUGCAAGUCGAACGAAGAGCGAUGGAAGCUUGCUUCUAUCAAUCUUAGUGGCGAACGGGUGAGUAACGCGUAAUCAACCUGCCCUUCAGAGGGGGACAACAGUUGGAAACGACUGCUAAUACCGCAUACGAUCUGACCUCGGCAUCGAGGAUAGAUGAAAGGUGGCCUCUACAUGUAAGCUAUCAUUUAAGGAGGGGAUUGCGUCUGAUUAGCUAGUUGGCGGGGUAACGUCCCACGAAGGCGAUGAUCAGUAGCCGGUCUGAGAGGAUGAACGGCCACACUGGGACUGAGACACGGCCCAGACUCAUACGGGAGGCAGCAGUGGGGAAUCUUCCGCAAUGGGCGAAAGACUGACGGAGCAACGCCGCGUGAGUGAUGACGGCCUUCGGGUUGUAAAGGUCUGUUAAUCGGGACGAAAGGCCUUUUUGCGAAUAGUGAGAAGGAUUGACGGUACCGGAAUAGAAAGCCACGGCUAACUACGUG
This 510-nucleotide ribosomal RNA is filed under the name uncultured bacterium. RNAcentral describes it as "partial 16S ribosomal RNA". It matches the Rfam family "Bacterial small subunit ribosomal RNA", at positions 28 to 507 of the family's 1533-position model. The record is from RNAcentral.